RNAcentral lists this ribosomal RNA (465 nucleotides) under uncultured Methanomicrobiales archaeon. Its description in RNAcentral is "bacterial SSU rRNA". It matches the Rfam family "Archaeal small subunit ribosomal RNA", at positions 875 to 1338 of the family's 1478-position model. Lineage: Archaea; Methanobacteriati; Methanobacteriota; Methanomicrobia; Methanomicrobiales. The record is from RNAcentral.
AGCACCACAACAGGUGGAGCCUGCGGUUUAAUCGGACUCAACGCCGGGAAAACUCACCAGAUAAGACAGCUGAAUGAUAGUCGGGCUGAAGACUCUACUUGACUAGCUGAGAGGAGGUGCAUGGCCGUCGUCAGUUCGUACUGUGAAGCAUCCUGUUAAGUCAGGCAACAAGCGAGACCCACGCCAACAGUUGCCAGCUCGUCCUCCGGGAUGGUGGGGACACUGUUGGGACCGCCUCUGCUAAAGAGGAGGAAGGAAUGGGCAACGGUAGGUCAGCAUGCCCCGAAUUAUCUGGGCUACACGCGGGCUACAAUGGGUGGGACAAUGGGUAUCGACACCGAAAGGUGAAGGCAAUCUCCUAAACCCAUCCGUAGUUCGGAUUGUGGGCUGCAACUCGCCCACAUGAAGCUGGAAUCUGUAGUAAUCGUGUCUCAAAAUGGCACGGUGAAUAUGUCCCUGCUCCUU